RNAcentral lists this long non-coding RNA (500 nucleotides) under Danio rerio (zebrafish). RNAcentral's name for it is "si:dkey-83m22.8 (ENSDARG00000093950.2)". The record is from RNAcentral. Lineage: Eukaryota; Metazoa; Chordata; Actinopteri; Cypriniformes; Danionidae.
UUGCUUUUUGGCCUUUAGUUUGACAAGACUCUAACCGCAAAGCGUUUUUAAACAGUUUUUUUAUUACGGUCACCAUACUCACCCUUUCCUAAGGUCUUCGACAGCUUGGGACUUCUGCAAGCUGCACUAUCAUCUCGUUCAUCAGCGACAAUGAGCUCAUCUGUGGAAUCGUCUCGGCCCACCAGCAGGGAGUAAUCAAUGAUGAGGUGGCUGGACAGGAAGAGCGCGUCGCUGUGGAUGGCAGCACGCAGGAUGGCCUUGCAGUGCGAGCGAAUAUAAAGGGGAUUGUCAUGCACCAGUUUGAGCAGGUUCUCAUCUAGGAGCACCACCUCACAGCUCUCCUUUCCCUGGUCCGUCUUCACGUUCCUGUUUCUCAGCGAUCCUUUCAGGUUGUCUGUGUCUGCCUGGGCUAGGAGGAACAGAUAGACGUUUUCUGCCUUUCUCUUGCUGGAACAGUUCUUGAAGUCUGAAGAUGAUAAUAAAUCAGUUCUGCUGUUAUG